UGAAUACGAGACGCUAAGGCGUCGAAGUAGUGUAUGUCAUACUUCCAAGAAAAGCUUGCACUGUCAUAGAUAAAAAACGCCUGUACCAUAACCGACACAGGUGGGUAGGUAGAGUAUACUAAGGGGCGCGAGAUAACUCUCUCUAAGGAACUCGGCAAAAUAACUCCGUAACUUCGGGAGAAGGAGUGCCUUAUUCGUAAGGUUGCAAUAACAAGAUCCAAGCAACUGUUUAUCAAAAACACAGGUCUCCGCUAAGUCGUAAGACGAUGUAUGGGGGCUGACGCCUGCCCAGUGCCAGAAGGUUAAAGAAGUUGGUUAGCAAUUGCGAAGCUGAUAACUGAAGCCCUGGUGAACGGCGGCCGUAACUAUAACGGUCCUAAGGUAGCGAAAUUCCUUGUCGGGUAAGUUCCGACCCGCACGAAAGGCGUAAUGGUUUGGAUACUGUCUCGGAGAGGGGCUCGGUGAAAUAGACUUGUCUGUGAAGAUGCGGACUACCUGCACCAGGACAGAAAGACCCUAUGAAGCUUUACUGUAACUUGAAAUUGAAAUUGGACUUUAUUCGCGCAGCAUAGGUGGGAGGCGUUGAUUAUAAUCUUGCGGGAUUAUUGGAGCCAUCAGUGAGAUACCACUCUUGUAAUGUUAGAUUUCUAACUUUGAAUCAUUAUCUGGUCAAAGAACAGUUUCAGGCGGGCAGUUUGACUGGGGCGGUCGCCUCCUAAACGGUAACGGAGGCGUACAAAGGUUUCCUCUGAACGGUUAGAAAUCGUAUCUAGAGUGUAAAGGCAUAAGGAAGCUUGACUGUGAGACCUACAAGUCGAGCAGGGACGAAAGUCGGUCUUAGUGAUCUGACGGUACUGAGUGGAAAGGCCGUCACUCAACGGAUAAAAGUUACUCUAGGAUAACAGGCUGAUCUCCCCCAAGAGUUCACAUCGACGGGGAGGUUUGGCACCUCGAUGUCGGCUCAUCGCAUCCUGGGGCGGUAGUACGUCCCAAGGGUUGGGCUGUUCGCCCAUGAAAGCGGUACGCGAGGUGGGUUCAGAACGUCGUGAGACAGUUCGGUCCAUAUCCGGUGUAGGCGUUAGAAUAUUGAGAGGAGCCUUCUUUAGUACGAGAGGACCGAGAAGGACAUACCUCUGGUGUACCAGUUAUCGUGCCAACGGUAAACGCUGGGUAGCUAUGUAUGGAGUGGAUAACCGCUGAAAGCAUCUAAGUGGGAAGCCCACCUCAAGAUAAGUAUUCUC
This 1241-nucleotide ribosomal RNA is filed under the name metagenome. RNAcentral's name for it is "bacterial LSU rRNA". It matches the Rfam family "Bacterial large subunit ribosomal RNA", at positions 1564 to 2815 of the family's 2925-position model. The record is from RNAcentral.